RNAcentral lists this ribosomal RNA (440 nucleotides) under uncultured Clostridia bacterium. Its description in RNAcentral is "bacterial SSU rRNA". It matches the Rfam family "Bacterial small subunit ribosomal RNA", at positions 338 to 795 of the family's 1533-position model. The record is from RNAcentral. Lineage: Bacteria; Bacillati; Bacillota; Clostridia.
CCUACGGGGGGCUGCAGUAGGGAAUUUUCGGCAAUGGGGGAAACCCUGACCGAGCAACGCCGCGUGGGGGAAGAAGGCCUUCGGGUCGUAAACCUCUGUCUUUGGGGACGAUAAUGACGGUACCCGAGGAGGAAGCCCCGGCUAACUACGUGCCAGCAGCCGCGGUAAUACGUAGGGGGCGAGCGUUGUCCGGAAUCACUGGGCGUAAAGGGCGUGUAGGCGGCCUGUUAAGUCAGGCGUGAAAACCCCGGGCUUAACCUGGGGACUGCGCUUGAAACUGGCGGGCUUGAGGGCAGGAGAGGAAAGUGGAAUUCCCGGUGUAGCGGUGAUAUGCGUAGAUACCGGGAGGAACACCAGUGGCGAAGGCGGCUUUCUGGACUGCACCUGACGCUGAGGCGCGAAAGCCAGGGGAGCGAACGGGAUUAGAUACCCCUGUAGUC